RNAcentral lists this long non-coding RNA (201 nucleotides) under Elaeis guineensis (African oil palm). RNAcentral describes it as "long non-coding RNA (EGUI_LNC064485)". The record is from RNAcentral. Lineage: Eukaryota; Viridiplantae; Streptophyta; Magnoliopsida; Arecales; Arecaceae.
UACCUAGCCUUAGAUCUACAAUCUCCUGUGCAAUACACACAACCUUCAAAUUAUCAGAAGAUUUGUUCUAUCUGUGCUAGCCCAUCAUGUUAGUGAAUAUCCUACGGCUGCACAGUUUCUGCCUUUUAUCCAAGAAUAAGUUCAAGCUACUCAAGGUUACUCCAAUCCUGUCAAUGACCCAUUCUUAAAUACAUAUAACCA